AUUGAACGCUGGCGGCAGGCCUAACACAUGCAAGUCGAGCGGAUGAAGGGAGCUUGCUCCUGGAUUCAGCGGCGGACGGGUGAGUAAUGCCUAGGAAUCUGCCUGGUAGUGGGGGAUAACGUCCGGAAACGGGCGCUAAUACCGCAUACGUCCUGAGGGAGAAAGUGGGGGAUCUUCGGACCUCACGCUAUCAGAUGAGCCUAGGUCGGAGUAGCUAGUUGGUGGGGUAAAGGCCUACCAAGGCGACGAUCCGUAACUGGUCUGAGAGGAUGAUCAGUCACACUGGAACUGAGACACGGUCCAGGCUCCUACGGGAGGCAGCAGUGGGGAAUAUUGGACAAUGGGCGAAAGCCUGAUCCAGCCAUGCCGCGUGUGUGAAGAAGGUCUUCGGAUUGUAAAGCACUUUAAGUUGGGAGGAAGGGCAGUAAGUUAAUACCUUGCUGUUUUGACGUUACCAACAGAAUAAGCACCGGCUAACUUCGUG
Molecule: ribosomal RNA, 484 nt
Filed under: uncultured bacterium
Lineage: Bacteria
Description: partial 16S ribosomal RNA
Rfam family: Bacterial small subunit ribosomal RNA
Source: RNAcentral